This 792-nucleotide ribosomal RNA is filed under the name Flavobacterium sp. EPACd10. Its description in RNAcentral is "bacterial SSU rRNA". It matches the Rfam family "Bacterial small subunit ribosomal RNA", at positions 61 to 859 of the family's 1533-position model. Lineage: Bacteria; Pseudomonadati; Bacteroidota; Flavobacteriia; Flavobacteriales; Flavobacteriaceae. The record is from RNAcentral.
GUCGAGGGGUAUAUGUCUUCGGAUAUAGAGACCGGCGCACGGGUGCGUAACGCGUAUGCAAUCUACCUUUUACAGAGGGAUAGCCCAGAGAAAUUUGGAUUAAUACCUCAUAGUAUAGUGACUCGGCAUCGAGAUACUAUUAAAGUCACAACGGUAAAAGAUGAGCAUGCGUCCCAUUAGCUAGUUGGUAAGGUAACGGCUUACCAAGGCUACGAUGGGUAGGGGUCCUGAGAGGGAGAUCCCCCACACUGGUACUGAGACACGGACCAGACUCCUACGGGAGGCAGCAGUGAGGAAUAUUGGACAAUGGGCGCAAGCCUGAUCCAGCCAUGCCGCGUGCAGGAUGACGGUCCUAUGGAUUGUAAACUGCUUUUGUACGAGAAGAAACACUCCUACGUGUAGGAGCUUGACGGUAUCGUAAGAAUAAGGAUCGGCUAACUCCGUGCCAGCAGCCGCGGUAAUACGGAGGAUCCAAGCGUUAUCCGGAAUCAUUGGGUUUAAAGGGUCCGUAGGCGGUUUAGUAAGUCAGUGGUGAAAGCCCAUCGCUCAACGGUGGAACGGCCAUUGAUACUGCUAAACUUGAAUUAUUAGGAAGUAACWAGAAUAUGUAGUGUAGCGGUGAAAUGCUUAGAGAUUACAUGGAAUACCAAUUGCGAAGGCAGGUUACUACUAAUGGAUUGACGCUGAUGGACGAAAGCGUGGGUAGCGAACAGGAUUAGAUACCCUGGUAGUCCACGCCGUAAACGAUGGAUACUAACUGUUGGAAGCAAUUUCAGUGGCUAAGCGAAAGUG